Molecule: long non-coding RNA, 3827 nt
Organism: Aegilops tauschii subsp. strangulata
Lineage: Eukaryota; Viridiplantae; Streptophyta; Magnoliopsida; Poales; Poaceae
Source: RefSeq, a predicted model, not a curated record
UCUCUUCCCUCUUCUCCUCCUCUCCCCCAAAAACCGCCGCCGCCGCCUGCUACUCAACGCGCCCAGCUCCGCCGCGACUCAGCUCCCCUGCUCUGCCCGCGAUUCUGCCCCCUGCUCUGCCCGCAUCUCCAUAGCGCUGGUUCCGCUACGCCCCGCCAUCUCCGCUCUACUCUGCCCGUGGCGGCGCCUGUGACGUGCCGAUAUGGCGGCGCCGCGGCCGGUUCCGAUCUGGAGAACCAGCGGGCGGUGGUGCAUGGUCUGGGCGGCGCCGAACUGCGUGGCCCCGAUUCUGCAUUCACGCCUCCUUCCUCCGUCGCCCAGAUACAAGGCGGCUCUCUCCUAGCCAACCUCCAGCCAUGCCUCUUCCUCUCCUGUUUGACCGACUCUCUUCUCCUCUGGAGAAGUAGCACGGGGCGGAGCUGCGCCUGAUCCGCUGCCGACAACGCACGUCUCAGCCCCAAGCCCAAGCUGUUUGAAGCAAUUACUAUUAAGGUUUUAGUUUAAGAAGCAUUUAACUUUGCUGUUUGAAGCAAUUGCUAUUAAGGUUAAAAUACGUGGAUUUUCCUUUUAGUUUAAGAAGCAUUUAACUUUUCUGUUUGACUGUAUAUAUGUGCUCUCACAAUGUUUGCAAAUGCACAUGGUGUCCAUUUUGCAUCACUCCAAUAUUGAUAUCUUUUGUUAGUAUUCAGAGAUGAUCUAGCAGAUUGAGCGAGAUGUAAAACACACUCACCCUGACAUGCAUUUCUUCUGUGGAGACUCUUCUUUUGCAAAAUCCAAUCAGGUUGGGGAUGGCGGUAAAAGGAGCAUGUUAUCAUAGCAGUGGCGGUGUCUCAUCUUGGGUUACUCCAUCGUCCUAUAAGGUCACCGACAGACUAUCAGAUCUCUAGGAGGUGGUACCGGGUGGUGAUGUCAGGGGGCCAAGGCCAGCUGCUGAUGUGAAGAAGACGAACAUGCAGGAGCAGGUCAAGCCACUUACUGAUCCCCCCAUCUCAUUCUACUCUGCUCACAAGGCGUUUGACAGAUUGCAUCAUAUGUUCUUUUUUCACCAUUUUCUCUUAAUAUCAAUUGGAGUCUGACAUUUUCCCUUCAUAUAUAUGGUGACUGAUACAAGAGCAUGCUAAUUAUCUUUUACUUAUUUUGAUUUGACGGUCUUGUCUAAUUGGUUGAUGGAGUAAUAGUGUCAUUUCUCUGUUUCUGAUAUCAAUGUAUCUAGUUUGAUUUGCGAUCACAAAAUAGAACCAUUGGGAUUAGAUUGUGUACGUGGUUUUGACUUCAGGCCUUUAUCCUGUAGAGAUCAGAUAGGGAACCAGGAAUUUUCAAUAAUCUUCUUCUCUGCUAAUACUCCUACAAAUCAGUGAUGAAGUUUGUAGGUGUGAUAGCAUAAUGAAACUAUCUGAUAGUGACAGAAGGUGUUUAGCCGGAACUACAUCAGUAGGAACCAUCGCAAUGACCUUGUUGCAGUAGUUCCUUAGGUAUGCUGUAUAGGUUUAGUUAAGGUAUAAUCAGCCUGCUCAUCAAACUGCUCAAGUUCUUGGUUUAGUGAGUGACCUGUUCGACCAGGGAUUACUCCCUCCUCAGUACUGGUGGUUUAAAUUUGAAAUGCCGCUAGACUCUCGUAAGUAUUUUUAUGGUACAUAUUUUCAUGUCAAGUACAGUGAGGGGUAAUCGAAUACGGAGUACAUACUGCCAAUAAGCAAAAUCCACCAGCAAUAGGUCAUUCAGGAUUAGGUUUGGUACUUUAUAGCUGAAUAGGUGAGUGCUUAGAAAAGAUUGCAACACACCAUACUCUAGGGAGGCACUUCAGAUUAGUGGUACAUAUUUAUUGUACUCUUAGUGUUAUUAUUUUUGAAUCAUUGACCUGCCUCUUAUCUUUCUACAUAGAGUAUGGUGAUGUACAGAGCUCUUGAUACAUUUCAAUAAAUAUUUUACUAGAUACAUUGCUGCAGGCGCUAAAAUGCUAUAGCUAGACAUGGAUUGGUCAGGAAUUCUACAGCAUUUGCUUCAAUGUCUUUGCAGAUCCUGGGUAGCAUGGAUUCAGUUCAUGAAAAUACAUUUGUCCGCACCCAGACUGAAACUAAUGUUAAGGACUUUUUGACACUAUGUCAAAUAACACGUUGUUUUGGCAUUACAUUGAAGAUUAUUCGGGACUUUUUAUGGAGGGUGAUAGAUUCAGUUUUCCAUUGUCACUACUAGAACAAAUUAUGAAGUGCCGAUUCUUCAUGUCGCUUCUUCUGUCGGGCCAAAACAGUUGAGUAGUUGUUGCAUCAGCAAGUGCUCACUGUAUCAUGGUUCCAGUUGAGCAAGUGAAGAGAAUUCUUGGCCCAAUUUUAUUUACUCCAUGCUCGUCUCCUGAUGCAAUAUAUGUGGCACUUGCCUUUCUCCUUACUUCUGUAUUAAUAUGAGUAUUGCAUUUGAAAUAAUGUGAAAUAUAAUUGCGUUUAAUAGGAUGGUUAUGAAGUUUUAAGGUUUCGCCAGUAGUGCUUCGAGUAACGGUUGUGCUUAUUUUGUUAUAUGUUUAGUAUUAUUAUGCUGCACUUGUUUGAAUUCCAGCAUCAUCUGGAGUGGUCCACAAGACGGUUAUUCUACUUUGGUAUCAACCAGUAUUACUUGUCUGAAUUCCAGAUAUGCUAGGGUGGAGUUAUUUAAGGUUUCGCCCCAAUGUUUAUAUGAAAUUAAUGCAUUGUCGGUAGUGGUGGUUUGCGUAGCAGUCAUGUUAUUUUUGUCAACUGUUCAGCAUUCUUACGACAAUAAUGGUACUAAUUCAAGCUCUGUCUUUAAUGGUUUACAAAACGGUUGUUCUACCUACGUACGUUGGUUGUCCAGUAUUAUCUCUGAAUUCCUGACAAGCUACUAUUUCCGUAUAUCUCUGAAUUCCUGACAAGCAUCUGAAUCGGGGUGAGGGAGUUAAGCUACAAGGCCGAUUAUAGAGAUGAGUUAACUGUUUAGUAUAUUUAUGCGUGUCCUUAUCAAUAUGAUUGUCAUUUUUUACCUUAUAUUGAGAAAUUUAAGAGUUAGAAUACCUUGCUUUAUACUUUCUUCUUCUUCUCCUAUGUUCCUAAGCCAGUUUGCAAGACUGCAAGUGAUUGGAUCAACGAGAGAUCUCCUGAUGCAUUGGGAGAAUUUGUUUUGUGGUGUAUAGAUAGCAUCAUGUUGGAAUUGUCAGGUCCAACUGUUGGACUAAGGGCGCGAAGAAGGUUGUUCAACAAACUCCAAAAGCCCAGCGAGUCAAAACACAAUUUCUUUUGGAAAGAGCACCACGAGGCCAGGUGGUAACUGCACUAUAGCAUGGCGGGAUAUUUGCAAGCCGAUUGAGCUGCGUGAUCUCAGCGUUAAGGAUCUACAGAAGAUGGGUAUCAUGCGGUUUCUUCAUCUGGCUCAGGUCCUUAUCAAGUGCAGCUCAGUGAUGAUCCAUAUCAGCUUCUUUGGCAAUGGAUGGAAUCGUGCCAGUACUCUGCAAGUCUGCUUACAAUACCUUCUUAAGCGGUCAGGUCAAGUAUCCUCUGCCAUCUCUGAUUGGGGUUGCUGGGUGUUGUUGAAGUAAAAACAAAUUUUGGUUGGUGUUGGCCAAUCGGUGCUGGACAAUAGACUGCCUUGCCCACCCUGAUGGUUUCUUUUUCGUAGUUUGAUUUAUCUGAUAAUGGUUUGUCGUUCGCUGUUUUCUUACGUUUUGUACCUAAUCGUUUUGUUAUGUUGUUUACAUUACCUUUUAUUUCUUUCCUUAUACAAAUUGUCAGAUUGCUUUGUCUCCAUCUUGAAAGAAAAAUUGCUGCCAUAGAACCAUGUUGACCCGAGGUUGAGCUAUGUGCCACCAUGCAUGGUAUCGGUAA